Molecule: ribosomal RNA, 308 nt
Filed under: Arthrobacter sp. SPG23
Lineage: Bacteria; Bacillati; Actinomycetota; Actinomycetes; Micrococcales; Micrococcaceae
Description: bacterial LSU rRNA
Rfam family: Bacterial large subunit ribosomal RNA
Source: RNAcentral
GUUCGGUCCCUAUCCGCUGCGCGCGCAGGAAAUUUGAGAAGGGCUGUCCUUAGUACGAGAGGACCGGGACGGACGAACCUCUGGUGUGUCAGUUGUACUGCCAAGUGCACCGCUGAUUAGCUACGUUCGGAUGGGAUAACCGCUGAAAGCAUCUAAGCGGGAAGCUCGCUUCGAGAUGAGAUUUCCAUACACCUUGUGUGUGAGAGGCCCCCAGCCAGACCACUGGGUUGAUAGGCCGGAUGUGGAAGCGAGGACUAACGACUCGUGAAGCUGACCGGUACUAAUAGGCCGAUAACUUACACCACACA